CCUACGGGGGGCAGCAGUGGGGAAUAUUGCACAAUGGGGGAAACCCUGAUGCAGCGAAGCCGCGUGAGUGAAGAAGUAUUUCGGUACGUAAAGCUCUAUCAGCAGGGAAGAAAAAAAGUCCUUUGGACUUUGGACGGUACCUGACCAAGAAGCCCCGGCUAACUACGUGCCAGCACCCGCGGUAAUACGGUGGGGGCAAGCGUUAUCCGGAUUUACGGGGUGUAAAGGGAGCGUAGACGGCAGCGCAAGGCUGGAGGGAAAUGCCGGGGCCCAACCCCGGAACUGCUUUGGAAAGUGGGCAGCUGGCGGGCAGGAGAGGGAAGCGGAAUUCCUAGGGUAGCGGUGAAAUGCGUAGAUAUUAGGAGGAACACCAGUGGCGAAGGCGGCUUACUGGACUGUAACUGACGUUGAGGCUCGAAAGCGUGGGGAGCAAACAGGAUUAGAUACCCCGGUAGUC
This 457-nucleotide ribosomal RNA is filed under the name uncultured bacterium. RNAcentral's name for it is "partial 16S ribosomal RNA". It matches the Rfam family "Bacterial small subunit ribosomal RNA", at positions 338 to 795 of the family's 1533-position model. The record is from RNAcentral.